UAGACUUGUCCAGGUUAGCAAACCCUCCUUAGGACACUAAAACACCCAUGGCUGUAGGUAGACUUGUCCAGGUUAGCAACCCUCCUUAGGUCACUAAAACACCCAUGGCUGUAGGUAGACUUGUCCAGGUUAGCAACCCUCCUUAGGACACUAAAACACCCAUGGCUGUAGGUAGACUUGUCCAGGUUAGCAACCCUCCUUAGGACACUAAAACACCCAUGGCUGUAGGUAGACUUGUCCAGGUUAGCAACCCUCCUUAGAAGGUCACUAAAACACCCAUGGCUGUAGGUAGACUUGUCCAGGUUAGCAACCCUCCUUAGGACACUAAAACACCCAUGGCUGUAGGUAGACUUGUCCAGGUUAGCAACCCUCCUUAGGACACUAAAACACCCAUGGCUGGAGGUAGACUUGUCCAGGUUAGCAACCCUCCUUAGGACACUAAAACACCCAUGGCUGUAGGUAGACUUGUCCAGGUUAGCAACCCACCUUAGGACACUAAAACACCCAUGGCUGGAGGUAGACUUGUCCAGGUUAGCAACCCACCUUAGGACACUAAAA
This is a long non-coding RNA of Oncorhynchus keta (chum salmon), 558 nucleotides long. RefSeq lists it as uncharacterized. The transcript has 4 exons. Lineage: Eukaryota; Metazoa; Chordata; Actinopteri; Salmoniformes; Salmonidae. The record is from RefSeq and is a predicted model, not a curated record.